AUCCAGCUGACGAGUCCCAAAUAGGACGAAACAAGAGUCCUGAAU
Molecule: non-coding RNA, 45 nt
Organism: Schistosoma curassoni
Lineage: Eukaryota; Metazoa; Platyhelminthes; Trematoda; Strigeidida; Schistosomatidae
Source: Rfam